AUCAGCUGGAAAGCACGAGAAAUACAUGGACUCACCAUGGGGAGAUACACGUUCCUGAGAUCUCACUUUGUAUCUGAUGUCUGCUUGACACUAAACUGUUGCUAUGCUGAUUCCACUCCAUUUGGCUGUUCAUUGCGAUGAAUAUAUGGGGGCUGUAUUUCCAAAUGUCCUGGGCACCCACAGCACUAAGAUCUGACCACCAGCUAGAUCCACCAGGCCUUGGAGUCCCUUGUAAAGCUAUGCUGAGAUGUUUGACAGAGAAUCUCAUCCUGACAAAACCCCAAGUCCCUGCAGAGUUACUACGGGGUGAGAAGAAACCUGAUGUGGAGGUGUUAAAGCAUCAUCGCUUUUGAAACUGCCUCUGGUGUGUGAGCUGAUGGGAGACCAAAAGUUAUCUACGGGAGUCCUUAAUGUACCGGGAUGACCUAAAAAAGUGAUACUGCAAAACAAGAAAAUGGAAGUGUGCAACUCUCAAUGAGGACAGCUGGCAUCCCUCCUUUUCCCAUGAAAUGAGGCACACCUGGUAAAAGUGUUGCGCAUUCUG
Molecule: long non-coding RNA, 544 nt
Filed under: Gallus gallus (chicken)
Lineage: Eukaryota; Metazoa; Chordata; Aves; Galliformes; Phasianidae
Description: long non-coding RNA NONGGAT007255
Source: RNAcentral